This 253-nucleotide ribosomal RNA is filed under the name uncultured bacterium. Its description in RNAcentral is "partial 16S ribosomal RNA". It matches the Rfam family "Bacterial small subunit ribosomal RNA", at positions 524 to 776 of the family's 1533-position model. The record is from RNAcentral.
UACGUAGGGUGCGAGCGUUGUCCGGAUUUAUUGGGCGUAAAGAGCUCGUAGGCGGCCUGUUGCGUCCGCUGUGAAAUCCCGGGGCUUAACCCCGGGCUUGCAGUGGAUACGGGCAGGCUGGAGGCAGGCAGGGGAGAAUGGAAUUCCCGGUGUAGCGGUGAAAUGCGCAGAUAUCGGGAGGAACACCUGUGGUGUAGACGGCUUUCUGGACCAUUGCUGACGCUGAGACACGAAAGCGUGGGUAGCAAACAGG